RNAcentral lists this ribosomal RNA (241 nucleotides) under uncultured Staphylococcus sp. Its description in RNAcentral is "partial 16S ribosomal RNA". It matches the Rfam family "Bacterial small subunit ribosomal RNA", at positions 99 to 334 of the family's 1533-position model. Lineage: Bacteria; Bacillati; Bacillota; Bacilli; Caryophanales; Staphylococcaceae. The record is from RNAcentral.
CGGGCGGGUGAGUAACACGUGGAUAACCUACCUAUAAGACUGGGAUAACUUCGGGAAACCGGAGCUAAUACCGGAUAAUAUAUUGAACCGCAUGGUUCAAUAGUGAAAGACGGUUUUGCUGUCACUUAUAGAUGGAUCCGCGCCGCAUUAGCUAGUUGGUAAGGUAACGGCUUACCAAGGCAACGAUGCGUAGCCGACCUGAGAGGGUGAUCGGCCACACUGGAACUGAGACACGGUCCAG